CUAAUGAGGGCAUGCAAUGAAAUGAAUUAACUCUUUCUUCUCCCCAAUUAUCAUUCUUCUUCCUCUCUGAUCUUCUAUCCCCUCUCCUCUAUUUUCUAUUUCCAACCUAUUCCCAAUUUGAUCUAUCUCUCUCACUCUCUCUUCUCUUCUCUUAGUUUCUCCUUUCUCACUUAAUUACCUCAAAUUUCCAGUCCGAGCCUCACCAUCAUCCCCGCCGCCAUCCACGCCUCAGCAAAUUCUCAUCAUCGGCGGGUUGCGACA
Molecule: long non-coding RNA, 261 nt
Filed under: Ananas comosus (pineapple)
Lineage: Eukaryota; Viridiplantae; Streptophyta; Magnoliopsida; Poales; Bromeliaceae
Description: long non-coding RNA (ACOM_LNC016866)
Source: RNAcentral